CUUGUUCCUGCUGUACCGAACAGUCCCUUUCCGUGUGUCUUCAGAGACUAGAUCAGUAAAUAUCCAGCCAACCUUUCUCAGUCCAAGCUUGGCAGCAAUCUCAUCCACAACCUCUGCUUUUGGAUCUUCCAGGAUCUCCAGGCUGUUCUGUGUACCGAUCUGUGGGGGUUCAUAGAUGGCAGCCACCUCCGCCCUGAUCCCCAGAG
RNAcentral lists this long non-coding RNA (206 nucleotides) under Gallus gallus (chicken). Lineage: Eukaryota; Metazoa; Chordata; Aves; Galliformes; Phasianidae. The record is from RNAcentral.